Long non-coding RNA from Canis lupus familiaris (dog), 2330 nucleotides. RefSeq lists it as uncharacterized. The transcript has 3 exons. The record is from RefSeq and is a predicted model, not a curated record. NCBI's taxonomy places the organism in Eukaryota, Metazoa, Chordata, Mammalia, Carnivora, Canidae.
AGGUGCUGGCGUUACACCAUACAGCAGAGGAAGCAGAGGUUGCGGAAGGAGAGCAAUGUGCCCCAAGGACACGGAGCCCGGCCCAAGAAUACAGUGACUCCAGUUGUAGGCUACAUGUUUCUAUGGCUUCCUUUCCUUCCCUCUGCACUCCAGUUGUUAUUUCUGCAGAGACUUAGUCUCAGGAAGAGACUGAACUUCUAUGGAGGCCAUGUUCCCUCUCAUUACCCUACUCAUUGUUCCAGAAAGGAAUUGUGGCAGAUGAGGCAGAUGUAUAUAAAAUACAUCUUGAUCACACAGAUGUGACAAAGAGUGGGGGAAAGGACGGGAAGGGGAAGAGCAGGGAACAAGAAUGGAAAUUUAUUAUGGAGCCAGAAUUAAGGCUAAUAGAAAAACACAUCAUUGGAAUCUGGUAGGCUCAAACUUCUAUCAAGUCUUCUAGCAGUCAAUGUGAAAAAAAGCAGCUGGUCACUAAGAGAACUCAGUCCACACUAUAAAAACAACCAAUAGCUCAGGAUUAGAAAGCAAUUUAUCUUGACUGCCAUCUUAAGACACCACUGAGUGACAUGGGGAACCUUACAGCACAUGCCAGGCUCAGUUUCUUAGACCAUUUUAUAUUAUCUCCUUAUAAAUAAAGCAUUCACAUGAUCAGAAGACCUGAACCAAGUGCUGCUGGUCAGGGCUGUCCACGGAACACACAUCUUCUGCCACCUUGUUCCUUUCUCCUCUUACUCACCAAGAACAAAGGAUAAGCAGAACCACUGCACUUUCUCCUCCCUGCUCCUUGGAAACUCAGGUCCCUAGCUCUGAGUACCUCUAUCUCACAUCAUAAAACUAGACAUGAACUCAAUCUCUGUCUUACUAAACUCUAUCAAGCAAUGUACAUCAUGACUACUAUGUAACCUCCUCCUGUGCACAAGUAUCUGAUCUCUCACAGCCAAAUGGGAGAUCCCUCAGGAAUACCAUCUUGACCAUCACUCUAUCCCCCUGCAAUGUCGUGUAGAGCAGCUGGGCCACAGAUGGUGAACAACUAAAAAGGUGAAGGCCACUGAACCAGCGCCAAGGAAGAUGGAAGCAGAUAGGCAACCAUGAGCUUUCCUUUAAAAAUCCAUGUUAUCUGCCAAACAACAACAAGGCAUAUUAUAUAGUUUUUUUUUAAAGUCUUUGUUUCUUAGCUCAGAAAGCAAAAGAGAGGAAGAAACAACACAUUCAGAGCACACAGCUGUACACUAAAAUACAGAAAUACACAGUACUCACCAGGUUAGCAUGUGGCUGGGAGAGAGGAAAAUGAGAUGAGGUUGGGACACGUGGUUAGCUACUUGGUUAGUCUGCUUACUUUGAAAAAAUGAAACAAGAGUCUUAGACCUCAAAGUCUGUCUGUGAAAAUAUAGCUACUUCUUAAACUCUGGGUUUACUUCUCUUGAGGAAUACAGCAACGUUUGGCAUGCCUGCCUAUUAUUUGGCAACCAUCAUUACAGCAACCAUCUUAUCUUCUAUUGAUUUUUGCAACAUCCCUGGGAGGUGCAAACAUAGAUGAGUUCUGAAAGAACACAGGUAGCGGACACCGCCUGAGUUCAUGCUGCGCAUGCAUGAUGUUUCAAUUCUUCCCAGGCAGGACCACACAGAAUUGUGUCCAGAGAAAGAAGGAAUCUUGCCACAGAGUCUAUUAGAAAAAACUCCUGUGGAAAUUGCAAUAUCUAGUCACUGUGGCCUCACAGGACUCCCGGACACCUGACUCCUGGCUAAGAAAAUAUUGACAGACUCUCUCCCUCACCUGUAAUCUAUAUUGGAAACAACCCUGAUCCCCAUGUGCCUCAGGCUUGGAACCUGACUUGGUAAUUGUACGAUCAGCAAAUCUGUCGACUUCAGCCCUAUUGGAGACUCUGAAUUGAACCAUCUUCACCAAGGAGCUAUAGAUAAAAUACAACUGCUUUUUCAUCAAAGGGCAACAACUACACCUCCAAGGGAUGAACAUCUGGGAAGAUCCUUAAAUACCUAAAAGCAAAUCAUCAAAACAUUUGUAGCAAUGUAGCUCCACAAUCAGGUACUUCUUAAGAAGGAUGCACAAUGUACACUUUGGCCAGAUGGUAACAGAUAUGGAAAAUACCAAGAAUAUCAAGACUGAAAUAUGGAGGACAACCUGCAUCCUGAAGAGGCAUUUAUUAAGCACCUACUGUGUGCCAGGUAUUCUACAUAUGUUAUCACUAAUUCUCACUACAGCCUUUCCUGGUAUAUACUAUCAUUCUUAUCUAUGAUUAAGAAAAGAGACUCAGGUCAAAUGACUUGCCCAUUAUUAAAAGGCUAAUAAAUGGCAUAUUUAGGACUUGAAUUCA